RNAcentral lists this transfer RNA (73 nucleotides) under Phlebiopsis gigantea 11061_1 CR5-6. RNAcentral describes it as "tRNA-Tyr (GTA) (tRNA-Tyr-GTA-1-1, tRNA-Tyr-GTA-1-2)". It matches the Rfam family "tRNA". From Rfam's summary of the family: Transfer RNA (tRNA) molecules are approximately 80 nucleotides in length. Their secondary structure includes four short double-helical elements and three loops (D, anti-codon, and T loops). The record is from RNAcentral. Lineage: Eukaryota; Fungi; Basidiomycota; Agaricomycetes; Polyporales; Phanerochaetaceae. RNAcentral also lists the same sequence under 1 other name.
CCUUCGAUAGCUCAGUUGGAAGAGCGCGAGACUGUAAAUCUUGAGGUCGCUGGUUCGAUCCCGGCUCGAAGGA